CAGUCGCCGCGGUAAUACGAAGGGGGCUAGCGUUGCUCGGAAUUACUGGGCGUAAAGCGUGCGCAGGCGGUUUGUUAAGGCAGAUGUGAAAUCCCCGGGCUCAACCCGGGAACUGCAUUUGUGACUGGCAAGCUAGAGUAAGGCAGAGGGGGGUGGAAUUCCGCGUGUAGCAGUGAAAUGCGUAGAUAUGCGGAGGAACACCGAUGGCGAAGGCAGCCCCCUGGGCCAAUACUGACGCUCAUGCACGAAAGCGUGGGGAGCAAACAGGAUUAGAUACCCCGGUAGUCCCUGUCUCUUAUAC
RNAcentral lists this ribosomal RNA (301 nucleotides) under uncultured bacterium. RNAcentral's name for it is "partial 16S ribosomal RNA". It matches the Rfam family "Bacterial small subunit ribosomal RNA", at positions 509 to 807 of the family's 1533-position model. The record is from RNAcentral.